GACGAACGCUGGCGGCGUGCUUAACACAUGCAAGUCGAACGGUGAAGGGGAGCUUGCUCCCCGGAUCAGUGGCGAACGGGUGAGUAACACGUGGGCAACCUGCCCCAGACUUCGGGAUAACGCUUCGAAAGAGGUGCUAAUACCGGAUACGAACUCCUUGGGCAUCCUGGGAGUUGGAAAGUUUUUCGGUCUGGGGUGGGCCCGCGGCCUAUCAGCUUGUUGGUGAGGUAACGGCUCACCAAGGCGACGACGGGUAGCCGGCCUGAGAGGGCGACCGGCCACACUGGGACUGGGACACGGCCCAGACUCCUACGGGAGGCAGCAGUGGGGAAUAUUGCGCAAUGGGCGAAAGCCUGACGCAGCAACGCCGCGUGAGGGAUGACGGCCUUCGGGUUGUAAACCUCUUUCAGCAGGGAAGAAGCGAAAGUGACGGUACCUGCAGAAGAAGCACCGGCUAACUACGUGCCAGCAGCCGCCGUAA
Molecule: ribosomal RNA, 481 nt
Filed under: uncultured bacterium
Lineage: Bacteria
Description: partial 16S ribosomal RNA
Rfam family: Bacterial small subunit ribosomal RNA
Source: RNAcentral